GUGGCUCGGCCCGCUGUUAGUCGUCAUUGCCAUGCUCCUGAUCUCGGCGGGGCUCAUGCU
Molecule: ribosomal RNA, 60 nt
Filed under: Florenciella parvula
Lineage: Eukaryota; Dictyochophyceae; Florenciellales
Description: partial 5.8S ribosomal RNA
Source: RNAcentral